GGUAGAGCAGAUGCCGCUCGAUAGUUUAUUACACACAUGCCAAUAAUUGGCUCAAAGGUGUUUCUCUUGCAAGGGUCAUGGCUAUUACUCCUACUCGCAUUGGUAGGUAGACAUGUCAUCUCGGAGUGAAGUGACACGGGUGAUUUACUACUACAUGCCAAGCGUCAAAGUGAGGCUUGACAAUUAUUUAUGAUGGCGAAAGCUGUGAAAUAAUACAACGACAGACUCCAAGAUCGCAACACUGACUCAGACUCCUCUAGGCAUUAGACUCGCUAUCGUAGUCUUCAUCCAUGAGAUCUCCUUCAUCCAUAUCUGGAAAAAUCAACAAGCGAGUGAGUACUUUGAAAGUACUCGCACGACAUUUUGCACAUAAGAUAAGAUGAAUGCAACAAUUUCACAUGCAUAGGUUAAUUUAGUUAUCACAAUUAACAAGCUAUUUAAUUUAGCAGUAAUUUAAGUCGGGGUAGAUAAGUCGAUCGGUAGUCCUCCCGAAAUAUCUAAGAAAGUAAAAAUACACCGAUUGGGUGUCUGAAGCAACGCCUUGAAAGGUUAACAGAUAGAAAUAAACUGCCACCAUCGGACGCCUGAGCGGCAUCACAUACAUGGCGUAAUAAUAAAUUAACAAGCCAUAGUCGGGCGUCUAUGCGACACCAUAGAAGGGGCAUAAUAAAGUAACAGGCCACAGACGGGCGUCUCCAUGACACCACGGAAAGGGCAUGCUAAAGUAAAUGCUUGCCACAGCCGAGCGUCUCAAUGACACCAUGGAAGGGCAUGAUAAAGUAAAUACUCGCCACAGUCGGGCAUUUCAGCGACACCACGGAAGGGCAUAAUAAGGUAAGUGAAUAUCCGGGUGGUUCAACCAACCUUCAGGAUAUUCAACACAACCACGUCUCAUCAAGUUAGUUGCAACGUCACAGUCACAUGUCAAUAAUAAGCACUUUCAUAAGUAAAAAACUUGUUCUCUAGAGACCGACACCAAGACCGACACUUGCCAUGUCAACCAGUCGUCCUUGACCAUGGACACGACUACUCGAAUAGUUUUGACUCUGUAGAGGAUGUACUCUUUACCCACAACCAACGGGUUCCAAUAGUCACUAGGACUAAUCUCGUGUACUGUAUUUUAGAAGUAAACACACAAAACCAGCACACACCCAUUUUUACCUAGCAAGGUCCGGAAUCACCCGGACUACGCUUCCAGGGAAGAACUAUAAUACGGGGAGGCCAACAUCCUCGAAUAGCAUGGGAUCAAAUUUAUACCGCGCGCUACAAGGGGAUUCCCCCGUCUCGGUCCCAGACCGGAAACACCCAAGCCCCCUAACCGGAUGGCUCACAUUAUUCUAGGGCCAUGGAACCCUCAUCCUACCCCUCUACUUGUUAUGUACAUGAUAAUAGGAUUACGACCUACUACACCGUAUUCACGAAAAGUUAGAUGACGCACUAACAAGACUCGAUCUACGCCGACACUAGAGUUGUUAAGUUCAUCCACACAGUGUCAUGCAUACGACAUGAUCACGACACAACCUAUCACGUCCCACGUGAGUUUGUUGCCCAUGACCUCUCACUAUUUCACGGGUUAUCAUAUUUGGCAUGUGUGAAAUCAUACCAUAUGAUAUGCAAGUUAUCUUAUGCAGAAAAUUAUCAAACAACCAUAUCAGCAAACAUCACAUCAAAUGUUCAAACAUGCUUUGACUGGGUCAACAAAAUCGGAGUCUAGCUCGAUGAAGUUGACUGCAGCUUCUCCCCCUACGGUAUUUACAUCACACACACCGGAUUACUAACAUGAAUACCAAGCGUCCAUUAAUAAAGUCUCAAAAUAUUUUUGAAUAAAUAUAAAAAACUAGAUAGCACAAUUUUUUUUUUAGAAAAAGAAUCAACUCAAAAGUCCAUGUAGUUUGAAAGUUAUGAAAGAAACAAGUUUAGGGGCCAAUCUGUGAUAAACAAAAAGUUACCGAGGGGCUGACUGAAAAAGCAGAAAACACCCUAAUGGAAAAUACGCAAGCCAGAGGAGAAGACGCAUUCUGGCGAAAGACGCUCUGGAAAAUGAUUCAAAAAUAAACAGGAUCCUAACAAUGGGCCACCAGUGUCAGGUUUGAAAAUCCUUGCCGACGACAAGGACUCGCGGCAUCGCCGGUGACGUUCUGUUCCGAACCAGAGGGGGAAGAGGGAGCAAGCGGACUCACCGGACUAUUCCGCAACGGUGGGAGGUUGAAGAAGUCGUCGGUGAGCACCAUGUCAACGGCAACUCCAACUCCGGUUGAUGGCGCUUUCGGGUGCAGUUUGAUCUCAUCGGAGGAAUCUACAAACACCGAAUUUACGUGGGGCUUAGAAGGGCGAAUGCUCAAGGAGCGCAGUGGCCAAUCUAGGGCUACACGGGCACGCUCACCUUAGCGAAUUUCGCCGGAGCCCGAAGCUCAUCGGGGCGGCUGGAGGUGCGUAAGAUGACCCUCUCGAGGUCCGCUAAGGGGCUUGGCGCGGCUCUGGUGAGGUGAGGUGGAGGUGCUGGCUGCAGAAGGGCUCGUAGUCCUCUAUUUAUAAGCGGGCGAGGAAGUGCUGGGAUGGUAUCAACUCCGGCGCCGAUUACGGUGAUCCAGAGGGGUCCGCGGGUGCUUACGGCGGUCGGGAUAG
RNAcentral lists this long non-coding RNA (2625 nucleotides) under Hordeum vulgare. RNAcentral's name for it is "long non-coding RNA (HVUL_LNC007606)". The record is from RNAcentral. Lineage: Eukaryota; Viridiplantae; Streptophyta; Magnoliopsida; Poales; Poaceae.